Molecule: ribosomal RNA, 791 nt
Filed under: uncultured bacterium
Lineage: Bacteria
Description: bacterial SSU rRNA
Rfam family: Bacterial small subunit ribosomal RNA
Source: RNAcentral
UCGACGAUGAUCCCGCUUGCUGGGGGAUUAGUGGCGAACGGGUGAGUAACACGUGAGUAACCUGCCCUUAACUCUGGGAUAAGCCUGGGAAACUGGGUCUAAUACCGGAUAUGACUCCUCAUCGCAUGGUGGGGGGUGGAAAGCUUUAUUGUGGUUUUGGAUGGACUCGCGGCCUAUCAGCUUGUUGGUGAGGUAAUGGCUCACCAAGGCGACGACGGGUAGCCGGCCUGAGAGGGUGACCGGCCACACUGGGACUGAGACACGGCCCAGACUCCUACGGGAGGCAGCAGUGGGGAAUAUUGCACAAUGGGCGAAAGCCUGAUGCAGCGACGCCGCGUGAGGGAUGACGGCCUUCGGGUUGUAAACCUCUUUCAGUAGGGAAGAAGCGAAAGUGACGGUACCUUCAGAGGAAGCGCCGGCUAACUCCGUGCCAGCAGCCGCGGUAAUACGGAGGGCGCAAGCGUUAAUCGGAAUUACUGGGCGUAAAGCGUGCGCAGGCGGAUUGUUAAGCAAGACGUGAAAUCCCCGGGCUUAACCUGGGAAUGGCGUUUUGAACUGGCAGUCUAGAGUGCGUCAGAGGGGGGUGGAAUUCCACGUGUAGCAGUGAAAUGCGUAGAGAUGUGGAGGAACACCGAUGGCGAAGGCAGGUCUCUGGGCAUUAACUGACGCUGAGGAGCGAAAGCAUGGGGAGCGAACAGGAUUAGAUACCCUGGUAGUCCAUGCCGUAAACGUUGGGCACUAGGUGUGGGGGACAUUCCACGUUUUCCGCGCCGUAGCUAACGCAUUAAGUG